GCAUUGGUGGUUUAAUAGUAAGAAUUCUUGCCUUCCAUCCAGGAGACCAAGGUUCAAUUCCCAGCUGAUGCA
RNAcentral lists this transfer RNA (72 nucleotides) under Loxodonta africana (African savanna elephant). It matches the Rfam family "tRNA". From Rfam's summary of the family: Transfer RNA (tRNA) molecules are approximately 80 nucleotides in length. Their secondary structure includes four short double-helical elements and three loops (D, anti-codon, and T loops). The record is from Rfam by way of RNAcentral. Lineage: Eukaryota; Metazoa; Chordata; Mammalia; Proboscidea; Elephantidae.